RNAcentral lists this ribosomal RNA (497 nucleotides) under uncultured bacterium. RNAcentral's name for it is "partial 16S ribosomal RNA". It matches the Rfam family "Bacterial small subunit ribosomal RNA", at positions 28 to 507 of the family's 1533-position model. The record is from RNAcentral.
GAUGAACGCUGGCGGCGUGCCUAAUACAUGCAAGUCGAGCGAACGGACGAGAAGCUUGCUUCUCUGAUGUUAGCGGCGGACGGGUGAGUAACACGUGGAUAACCUACCUAUAAGACUGGGAUAACUUCGGGAAACCGGAGCUAAUACCGGAUAAUAUUUUGAACCGCAUGGUUCAAAAGUAAAAGACGGUCUUGCUGUCACUUAUAGAUGGAUCCGCGCUGCAUUAGCUAGUUGGUAAGGUAACGGCUUACCAAGGCAACGAUGCAUAGCCGACCUGAGAGGGUGAUCGGACAAACUGGAAAUGAGACGCGGUGCAGAGUACUACGGGAGGCAGCAGACGGGAAUCUGCAGCAGUGGUCGGAAGCCGGACGGUGCAAAACCGCGUGAGUGAGGAAGGUCAUCGAAUUGUAAAACGCUGGGAUUAGGGAAGAAAAAAAGGGUAAGCAACUGUGCACAGAUUGACGGGACCAAAACAGAAAGCCACGGCUAACUACGGG